CUGGGUCUGCAGAGGGAAUGGACAUUUACUCAGAGACGUUGCUUUGCAUAUUUCCAGCCGAGUGACAGUUCCUGGCUGUUCUGAGCAGAUAUAAAUAUGUCACCUUUAUACUUUGUGCUUCUGAACUUGGUAUCUGUCACUCUACACAUAUCAAGAUGAUCUCCCAGACUCAAUUUCUCUGGCUUCUCAUGUUCUGGAUUCAGGACUCCAGUGGGCAGAUUGUGCUGACUCAGACUCCAGAAUCCCUCUCAGUGUCUCCAGGAGACAGAGUCACCAUCAACUGCAAAGCCAGUUCCAGUGCUUCUACAGGCAUGGCCUGGUACCAACAGAAAUCAGGACAAGCUCCUAAACUCCUUAUCCACAGCGCUUCCACCCGCCCCUCUGGGAUCCCAGACCGGUUCAGCGGCAGUGGAUCUGGCACUGAUUUCACAUUCACAAUCAGCAGAGUGGAAGCAGACGAUGCUGGCGAUUAUUAUUGUCAGCAGUAUGGGAGAACAAAUCUGAAGAUCUCUCACCAAUCAGACACAGAGAGACCCAGUAACCCAGUUCAUGGAAUGUCUAUCUGUAAUAAUACCCCAUGUAUUGAAGAUUGCUAUUAG
Non-coding RNA from Chrysemys picta bellii (western painted turtle), 599 nucleotides. NCBI's taxonomy places the organism in Eukaryota, Metazoa, Chordata, Testudines, Emydidae. The record is from the annotation of a RefSeq genome assembly.